GACGAACGCUGGCGGCGUGCUUAACACAUGCAAGUCGAGCGGUAAGGCCCUUUCGGGGGUACACGAGCGGCGAACGGGUGAGUAACACGUGGGUGACCUGCCCUUAGCUCUGGGAUAAGCCUGGGAAACUGGGUCUAAUACCGGAUAUGACUCCAUGACGCAUGUUGUGGGGUGGAAAGCCUUGUGCGGCUAGGGAUGGGCCUGCGGCCUAUCAGCUUGUUGGUGGGGUGAUGGCCUACCAAGGCGACGACGGUAGCCGGCCUGAGAGGGCGACCGGCCACACUGGGACUGAGACACGGCCCAGACUCCUACGGGAGGCAGCAGUGGGGAAUCUUGCGCAAUGGGCGAAAGCCUGACGCAGCGACGCCGCGUGGGGAUGACGGCCU
This 386-nucleotide ribosomal RNA is filed under the name uncultured bacterium. Its description in RNAcentral is "bacterial SSU rRNA". It matches the Rfam family "Bacterial small subunit ribosomal RNA", at positions 28 to 417 of the family's 1533-position model. The record is from RNAcentral.